UCGCAACUUCUAAUUAGUUGUAAGUGGUAGAGGAAUACUUGCCUCAGGGCUUCGCCAGCCAGGCGUGGUUGCCCGCUUUUGGCGCAGGUGGCCUCUUUGGAAUUGUGUUCCCAGUCUUCUUCCUCCCAUCACCUGCGUGGAAUACGAAGACCAUUUUCAGCAGGGCCAACACAAGGGGAGAGCAUCCUGUCCAUGUUCCCAACAAAUGYAGCAGAGCAGAACAGAGCAGGCGCGAAAAUUUCAAUUGAAAAAGCUGCACACAAGCAGCAAGUCAUGCUCCUCACCACAACCUGUGUCGCUGCCUCUAGCACAGCCAUMUCUCCUACCCCUCCUGUCCCCUUUAUCACCCAUUUGUAACAAAAGCGCACAGCAAGUUGGCCAUGACAGAAGGCAUUGUGCACCAAACUCCACCCUCACCCUCAGCAUGACUCAGCAUGCUUGCGCAAGCCACAGCAGGCUACAGAGAAAAAAAGCUGCACACAAAAAGCAACUCAUGUGCAUGCUCCCUUGCACCUGUG
RNAcentral lists this long non-coding RNA (518 nucleotides) under Dunaliella salina. RNAcentral describes it as "long non-coding RNA (DSAL_LNC000501)". Lineage: Eukaryota; Viridiplantae; Chlorophyta; Chlorophyceae; Chlamydomonadales; Dunaliellaceae. The record is from RNAcentral.